RNAcentral lists this long non-coding RNA (2987 nucleotides) under Mus musculus (house mouse). Its description in RNAcentral is "long non-coding RNA chr11:70858900-70861887". The record is from RNAcentral. Lineage: Eukaryota; Metazoa; Chordata; Mammalia; Rodentia; Muridae.
GUGUGUGUGUAUAUAUAUAAAAGAUUUAAAUUUGGAUGCUGGAGAAACUGCUAGAGGUAAAGAAGAGGUUAAACUUAUAAAAGAAGUGGGCUAGAUUUCAGCUUUUGAGAGGCAAUGAGAUGGAUCAAGAGCUUGAAUAUCAAUAAGAGAUACAGGGAUUUACUCUUAAAGAAAGGAAAGGAUGGCCAGGUGUGAUGGGACGUACACACCUUUAAUCUCAGCAGUCGGGAGGCAGAGGCAGGUGGAGCUCUGCUAGCUGUUCUACAGUGCAAGUUCCAAGACAUCCAAGGCUACACAGAGAAUCCAAAACCCUGUCUCAGGUGGGUGGGUUUGGGGGAGGGAAGGGAAGGAAAGGAAAGGGUGAGUAAGACAGGCAACUGAGGUGGAAGAGGGGAUUCACUAAAUGUAUGUAGCAUGUAGUCUGUCAUUAAUUUUUUUUUCAGCUACAUAUGAUUGGAUUUCUGUGAAUAAAUAGACCAGCUACCUCUACUCAGGUUACAGUUCUGAGACCUCAAUUAUAGUCAAUUAUUUUUGUUCUUUUUUUGGUUCUUCUGGGUUAUCUUAACCAAAGAAGGAAGCACUUUGAUUUUCCCCCACCCCACCUGAGUUGUUCCAAAGAUAAUUUAGUUAUGUAGGAGAGAAGCCAGUCCAUUUACACUGAUACAACAGGCAUUAGAAUUUUAAGUUUCCCAUGGACAUAAAUGUGAAAGGUUGGUAGAGAAUUAAGUGGAUUUUUGAUUUUGAACCCAAAUUAUUUCUCUUCUUUCCCUUAAACAAUUGGAACUAGGCCUGGAGAGAUGGUUCAGCAGUUAAGAGCACUGACUGCUCUUCCAGAGGUCUUGAGUUCAAUUCCCAGCAACCACAUGGUGACUCACAGCCAUCUGUAAUGGGAUCUGAUGCCCUUUUCUGGUGUGUCUGAAGAGACUGACAUACAAUAAAUAAAUCUUUAAAACAAACAAACAGACAAACAAACAAACAACCCCAAUUGGAGCUGGAGUAUUUUCUUUUUGGGCAAAACAUUUUCAGGUAUCAAGGAGCUUUCUGUCAUGUUGGGGUUCUCUUCUGUGAGGGUGAACUGACCCUCCCUGUUUUGCAUGGUUUCCUCUGUCAGGCUAAGCAGAUGCUUCAGUACUGGAGAGUUUGCUGGUGCUCAUUAUACAGUAAUGUACUGUAAUUGAAUAAAAUGCUGUGGACAUGACAUGUGAUAUGCAUUGCACACCAAAAUGUCCUUUUUGAGCAGGAUCUGUAACUCUUUUAGUAAAGGCGAAAUUCUCCCAAUUUUGUUAAUCUACUGUAUCAUGUUCAUAAUAGUAAAAAUAGCAGUUCCUUAAUGACAUGUAAUAUUAAACACCUUUUUCACAAGUUGACUUGCUGUCUGGGCAUCUUUGCGGAGUCCAGCCAGAUCUUUUAACCAUUUAUUCCAUUAAGUUGUUACAUUUCUUUCCUUUAAUUUUGAGACAGGAUUUCUCUGGGUAUUCUUGACUGGCCUGGAAUUCAUAGAGAUUUGCCUGUCUCUUCUCCUGCUGGAAUUAAAGGUGGGCACCAUCAUCCAUCACCUGGCUUGAUUUUUGUUUUUAAAGACACAUUCUCUGUCUGUAGCCCAAACUGCUCUGAACUUUGUUCCCAGGAUGCCUUGAGCCUCACUAGUCCUCCUCAGCUGUCUCCUCAGCUGCUAGAGUUGCAUGUUUGUGCCGCUGUGCCUGGCCUUUCUUAGACUCUUUUGCAGCACUGAGGACAAACUCAUUGCCUUGUGCAUACUAACUAGGCAAGGGCUCUGGAAUUGAUUUACAGCUUCAUUUCCCUUCCCAUUUUUCUUUUUAUUUUUUGUGGUUUAUUUUUUCAUUUUUUGUUUGUUUUUGUUUUUGUUUUUUUCGAGACAGGGUUUCUCUGUAAUGCCCCGGCUGUCCUGGACCUUACUUUGUAGACCAGGCUGGCCUCGAGCUCAGAAAUCCGCCUGCCUCUGCCUCCUGAGUGCUGGGAUUAAAGGCGUGCGCCACCACACCCGGCUAUUUUUUCAUUCUUUGGCAGUAUCUUUGGCGUAGCAAUUUUAAAUUUUAUUGAACUCCAACUAAUCCAUUAAUUUUUUUCAUGACUUAUUUUUGUUGUAUUUAAAAAGUAGUUUCCAAGAUCAAGGUCAUCUAGAUUUUUCUAUUUAUCAUUCUAAGAGUGUUAUACUUUUGUUUUUUACAUUUACAUUUGUCUGUGAUUUAUUUUGAGUUUAUUUUUGUGAUAAAUACAGAGUUUAUGUCUAAGUUCAUUGUUUUGCAGUUCAACAUAUAGAUGUCUUACUAGAGUUUGUUUAAAAAGUUUUGUUUUUUUUCUCCAGUUGUGCUGCCUUUGGUUUUUUGCCAGUAAGGUUAGUAGUAUUCGUGUAAACAUAUUUAUGGUACAUUUUGUUUUGUUAUAGUGAUGUACUUGUUUAUUCUUUUUUUUUUUUUAAGAUUUAUUUAUUUAUUAUAUGUAAGUACACUGUAGCUGUCUUCAGACACUGUUACGGAUGGUUGUGAGCCACCAUGUGGUUGCUGGGAUUUGAACUCUGGACCUUUGGAAGAGCAGUCGGGUGCUCUUACCCACUGAGCCAUCUCACCAGCCCUUAUUCUUUUACUUUAUAUAUUUUUUAAUUUUAAAAAUAUUUUUAACAUCAAACCCAGUAUUUUCUUGAGCAUAAUGGUGCACACUUACAAUUCCAGCAGUAAGGAGGCUGAAGCAGAAUUUCUCUGAAUUCAAGAUCAUUGUGGGCUAAUUAGCAAGUUCCAGCCCAGCCAGACUGCUGAGUGAGGUACAUAGAUUUUUAUAGGUUACUAUGUCAGAGUUGGAGAGAUGGCUCAGCAGUUAGGAGCACUGGAUGCACUUGUAGAACACUGGGUUCUGUUCUAAGCACCUACGUGGUGGCUCACAAGUGUCUGUAGCUCCAGUUCCAGAGGCUCUCAGGCCCUCUUCAGGUUCUGUGGAUACCAGGCAUUCAUGUGGUGCGGCAAAACACAUAU